RNAcentral lists this ribosomal RNA (253 nucleotides) under uncultured bacterium. RNAcentral's name for it is "partial 16S ribosomal RNA". It matches the Rfam family "Bacterial small subunit ribosomal RNA", at positions 524 to 776 of the family's 1533-position model. The record is from RNAcentral.
UACGAAUGGUGCAAUCGUUACUCUGAAUUACUGGGCGUAAAGCGUGCGUAGGCGGUUUGUUAAGUCUGUCGUGAAAGCCCCGGGCUCAACCUGGGAAUUGCGAUGGAAACUGGCGAGCUAGAGUACGGUAGAGGAGAGUGGAAUUCCCGGUGUAGCAGUGAAAUGCGUAGAGAUGUGGAGGAAUACCGAUGGCGAAGGCAGCCCCCUGGGAUAACACUGACGCUCAUGUACGAAAGCGUGGGUAGCAAACAGG